CGGACUGGUGAGUAACACUCGGCCCUCUGCCCUCGGGAGGGGGAUAACGGCUGGAAACGGCCGCUAAUACCCCAUAUGGCGAGAGGUGAAAUGAAUUUCGCCUGACGAUGAUCUCACGUCUGAUUAGCUGGUUGGAAAGGCAAAGGCCUACCCAAGCUUCAAUCGGUAUCUGGUCUGAAAGGAUGAUCAGCCACCCGGGAACUGACACACAGCCCAAACUCCUGCGGGAGGGAGCAAUGGGGAAUUUUCCGCAAUGGGCGAAAGCCUGACGGAGCAACGCCGCAUGAGGGAUGAAGGCCUCUGGGCUGUAUUCCUCUUUUAUCAAGGAAGAAGAUCUGACGGUACUUGAUGAAUAACCCACUGCUAAUUCCGUGCCACCAUCCGCGGUAAUACGGGAGUGGCAGGCGUUAUCCGGAAUUAUUGGGCGUAAAGCGUCCGCUUGCGGUCUUACAAGUCUGUCGUUAAAGCUUGGAGCUUAACUCCAUUUCAACGAUGGAAACUGUGAGAGUGGAGUGGGGUAAGGGCAUAGGGAAUUCCCGGUGUAACGGUGAAAUGCGUAGAUAUCGGGAAGAACACCAAUGGCCAAUGCUCUCUGCUGGGCCAUACCUGACGCUCAUGGACGAAAGACCGGGGAGCAAAAGGGAUUAGAGUCCUCUGUAGUC
This 662-nucleotide ribosomal RNA is filed under the name uncultured Cyanobacterium sp. RNAcentral describes it as "bacterial SSU rRNA". It matches the Rfam family "Bacterial small subunit ribosomal RNA", at positions 99 to 795 of the family's 1533-position model. Lineage: Bacteria; Bacillati; Cyanobacteriota; Cyanophyceae; Chroococcales; Geminocystaceae. The record is from RNAcentral.